RNAcentral lists this ribosomal RNA (510 nucleotides) under uncultured Glomus. Its description in RNAcentral is "SSU rRNA". It matches the Rfam family "Eukaryotic small subunit ribosomal RNA", at positions 569 to 1081 of the family's 1831-position model. The record is from RNAcentral. Lineage: Eukaryota; Fungi; Glomeromycota; Glomeromycetes; Glomerales; Glomeraceae.
AGCAGCCGCGGUAAUUCCAGCUCCAAUAGCGUAUAUUAAAGUUGUUGCAGUUAAAAAGCUCGUAGUUGAAUUUCGGGAUCAAUAUAUCGGUCGUGCCCUUGGUACGUACUGGUAUCAUUGAUUUCUCCCUUCUGACGAACCAUGAUGUCAUUAACUUGGUGUCAUGGGAAAUCAGGACUGUUACUUUGAAAAAAUUAGAGUGUUUAAAGCAAGCUAACGCUUGAAUACAUUAGCAUGGAAUAAUGAAAUAGGACGUUUGAUCCUAUUUUGUUGGUUUCUAGGAUCAACGUAAUGAUUAAUAGGGAUAGUUGGGGCAUUAGUAUUCAAUUGUCAGAGGUGAAAUUCUUGGAUUUAUUGAAGACUAACUACUGCGAAAGCAUUUGCCAAGGAUGUUUUCAUUAAUCAAGAACGAAAGUUAGGGGAUCGAAGACGAUCAGAUACCGUCGUAGUCUUAACCAUAAACUAUGCCGACUAGGGAUCGGAUGAUGUUAAUUUUUAAUGUACUCAUUC